This 492-nucleotide ribosomal RNA is filed under the name uncultured bacterium. RNAcentral's name for it is "partial 16S ribosomal RNA". It matches the Rfam family "Bacterial small subunit ribosomal RNA", at positions 29 to 507 of the family's 1533-position model. The record is from RNAcentral.
AUUGAACGCUGGCGGCAUGCUUUACACAUGCAAGUCGAACGGUAACAGGCCUUCGGGUGCUGACGAGUGGCGAACGGGUGAGUAAUGCAUCGGAACGUGCCCAGAGGUGGGGGAUAACGCAGCGAAAGCUGUGCCAAUACCGCAUGUGAUCUGAGGAUGAAAGCGGGGGACCAAGCAGCAAUGUUUGGCCUCGCGCCUCUGGAGCGGCCGAUGUCAGAUUAGGUAGUUGGUGGGGUAAAGGCCUACCAAGCCGACGAUCUGUAGCUGGUCUGAGAGGACGACCAGCCACACUGGGACUGAGACACGGCCCAGACUCCUACGGGAGGCAGCAGUGGGGAAUUUUGGACAAUGGGCGCAAGCCUGAUCCAGCAAUGCCGCGUGCGGGAAGAAGGCCUUCGGGUUGUAAACCGCUUUUGUACGGAACGAAAAGGCUCUGGCUAAUACCUGGGGAUGAUGACGGUACCGGAAGAAUAAGCACCGGCUAACUACGUG